UACAGGGGGUGCAAGCGUUGUUCGGAAUUACUGGGCGUAAAGGGUUCGUAGGUGGCUUAUUAAGUCAAACGUGAAAUCCCUCAGCUUAACCGGGGAACUGCGUCUGAUACUGGAAAGCUUGAGUGCAGGAGAGGAACGCGGAAUUCCAGGUGUAGCGGUGAAAUGCGUAGAUAUUGGGAAGAACACCAGUGGCGAAGGCGGCUAACUGGUCCGAUACUGACGCUGAGGUGCGAAAGCGUGGGGAGCAAACAGG
Molecule: ribosomal RNA, 253 nt
Filed under: uncultured bacterium
Lineage: Bacteria
Description: partial 16S ribosomal RNA
Rfam family: Bacterial small subunit ribosomal RNA
Source: RNAcentral